CUUCAGUGCUGCAGCUAACGCAUUAAGCAUUCCGCCUGGGGAGUACGGCCGCAAGGCUGAAACUCAAAGGAAUUGACGGGGGCCCGCACAAGCGGUGGAGCAUGUGGUUUAAUUCGAAGCUACGCGAAGAACCUUACCAGGUCUUGACAUACUAUGCAAAUCUAAGAGAUUAGACGUUCCCUUCGGGGACAUGGAUACAGGUGGUGCAUGGUUGUCGUCAGCUCGUGUCGUGAGAUGUUGGGUUAAGUCCCGCAACGAGCGCAACCCUUAUUAUCAGUUGCCAGCAUUAAGUUGGGCACUCUGGUGAGACUGCCGGUGACAAACCGGAGGAAGGUGGGGAUGACGUCAAAUCAUCAUGCCCCUUAUGACCUGGGCUACACACGUGCUACAAUGGAUGGUACAACGAGUUGCGAACUCGCGAGAGUAAGCUAAUCUCUUAAAGCCAUUCUCAGUUCGGAUUGUAGGCUGCAACUCGCCUACAUGAAGUCGGAAUCGCUAGUAAUCGCGGAUCAGCAUGCCGCGGUGAAUACGUUCCCGGGCCUUGUACACACCGCCCGUCACACCAUGAGAGUUUGUAACACCCAAAGUCGGUGGGGUAACCUUUAGGAACCAGCCGCCUAAGGUGGGACAGAUGAUUAGGGUGAAGUCGUAACAAGGUAACCA
RNAcentral lists this ribosomal RNA (663 nucleotides) under uncultured Lactobacillus sp. RNAcentral's name for it is "bacterial SSU rRNA". It matches the Rfam family "Bacterial small subunit ribosomal RNA", at positions 838 to 1502 of the family's 1533-position model. The record is from RNAcentral. Lineage: Bacteria; Bacillati; Bacillota; Bacilli; Lactobacillales; Lactobacillaceae.